Molecule: non-coding RNA, 137 nt
Organism: Cladorrhinum samala
Lineage: Eukaryota; Fungi; Ascomycota; Sordariomycetes; Sordariales; Podosporaceae
Source: the annotation of a GenBank genome assembly
GGGGGUUCAGCUCAAUUGGGAGAGCGUCAGACUGAGGUUAUAACUUCAUUCAUUUCUUAUAAACUUGGAAACUGUGCAAAAGGGGAAAAAAAAAAAGUUUAAUCUGAAGGUCGUGUGUUCGAUCCACACAAACCGCA